ACAGGAGUGGUGUAGUGGGUGCACACUCGGCGAAGCUGGACGACAUCCGGUAAGGCGAGAGGCGCUGGUUCGAUCCCAGCCUCCGACA
This is a non-coding RNA of Nemania sp. FL0916, 88 nucleotides long. Lineage: Eukaryota; Fungi; Ascomycota; Sordariomycetes; Xylariales; Xylariaceae. The record is from the annotation of a GenBank genome assembly.